RNAcentral lists this long non-coding RNA (2331 nucleotides) under Mus musculus (house mouse). RNAcentral's name for it is "predicted gene 5600". Lineage: Eukaryota; Metazoa; Chordata; Mammalia; Rodentia; Muridae. The record is from RNAcentral.
UUACACAAACUUGAACCUUAAUCAUUCCCUUUAUUCCCAUGGAUGUGAUAAGACUCUGCACCCAUGUACAAUGGAGUUGAACCACGGGUUAAGGGGAAGUUCCCUUCAUCCAGACAUGACUUGUAGUCCCUGUUUUACUCCACCAAAGCUUAUUUCAGGUCAGCCUCAGGAGAUCAUUCUCCCAGGUCAGUCUCAGACAGUAUCACUGAUUAAAUGCUCUCUGUAGAAUGAGGAGCUAAAGAAUGGAAAUUAUAAUGAAGAGAAAGACAGGUGAUGCUUUUGGGAUGAGGUCAGUCUUUCUCCAACCUCCACUUGCUAUUCAUAACCCCCUUGUCACUUCAAUCAAAUUUCCUGGCCAUUCCACAUCCUGGUGUCUUUAUUGUGAAUGGAGGAGCAUGGCCGUGUUCCUUAAACUGUGGGCUGCUUUGCCAACAUUAAGAGAUGUAGCAUGCAGAAAGAAUGCUAGACCUCACCUGAGUCUGUCUCCUUCCCUCUGCCCUAGUGGAAGCCUAUUAUGGGUGGGUCAGAACAUGGACAGCUUGACCCACAACACCACAAUAUGCACUGCUUGGUUCUCUCCUUUCCAAAUAAAUUGUUUCAUUAAUUUUCUGGCAAAGAAAGAGAAGAAGAGCUGGCCGCUUGCCAGGGUUAAUGGGAUCCUUUUGUCAGACUUUGUGGCCUGCAAUGAACCAAGCUUUUACCCAGUGUUAAUCUGCAGGGCACCAUAAUCCGAAUUAGACAGUGUUGCAAGUCUGAUGCUCAAGGAUGCAGAAUGUGUUGAUUCUAAAGCACUGGUCCUGGAGGCAGCUAUAGGUUAGAUUCAAAAGGGGAAACUCCAGAGCAGGGCCCAGGCUGCUCCCAUAAGCAUCCAGGCUGAGUUGAUCUGCAGUUUCCGGGCAUCAACGUUGCUUUUAAUGGCAAUAGCAAUGAAGAAUGAGCCCUUUGAGGGGAAUUGGGUUCUUCGAACACUGCAUCCACAGGCAGACGUCAGCUGCAGAAAAAGUACCCGUUGGCUCUGUUUCUGCUCUUCCAUAACCUUGUCCUCCAUCUUGCCACUUCAGUGAUGGCCCCUGUCUACCACCAAAAUGCCUCUGGACCUCCUAUAGUCUCCUGGGUCCAUGGUGCCAAGAUGGUAGAGUGUACGCUGAGGGGAUAGAGAAUGCGAAUGAAAUGCCUCUUCUGCAUUGGUCCAAAGACCUGCCUGAUGAGCAUUUCCAAAGAUGACUGACUGUUGCUAAGGACCUACAUCCUCCAUAGAAUUUUCCCCUAGGGGCUGGUCAUUAGCAACAUGGAAGUGAGGGGUUAUCUGGUCAAAAGAGAUGUCAUCUUUCACAACAUCUGUGUCCUUGUGCUGAAUUCCUCUGCAGAGCCUGGAUGUUUCGAUCUCCCGUUAAACCCCAGUGUCUGUUUCUAGACUUGCAGAAACCCAAGUCUCCAGCACCGCUUUACUCAGGGCUGAGCUUCCCCUGGGGCUCUGCCAUCAUCAUAGCAUUUCAUGCAUCGUUCAGUCUAUUAUAAAAAUGAUCCUCAAAUGUUUUUUUAUCAUGAGAUGCCAUAGGUUCCGUGAGAUAUUCAAGCAAGACAAAAGAGAAGACAGUGUGUUUCCUUCCCCUCUCUCAGUGGUUGCCACUCUCCAGAGUUAACUGCCUUCGGAGGCCAGAAGAGGGCAGAAGAUCCCCUGGAACUGGAGUUAUAGGCAGUUGUGAAAUGAUGUGGACACUAGGAACCAAACUCCAGGUUCUCUACACAGAGGCUGAGUUUAAGCUGAGUCAACACUCAGGAUUUGGUGGUGACAAACUUUGCCUUUGGGAUGGUUUGAGCAAGUCCCUCUGCAGCAGUGGCCUUGCCUCCCUGAUGAACUGUCUUGGAGUUCAGCUGCAAAGUACAGGGACUGGUUUUAGUGAACUUCACAGAGAAUCUGUGAUGAAGAUGACUAGAGCCAAGGACUCUGUGCUCACCAUUCCCUGGUCUGGAGAGAAGCCUGGAAUCGAGCUAGCAAGCGAGCACCUGACAAGAAUGCCUGUCUUCCUGUUUGUUCUUCGCGGUUAAUGCUAAUGCCUCCUUCAAGACCUGCAGCAACUGUCAGCUCUUCAGAAUCUUCUGAUUAGAGAGGUUAAUCACAGUGACACAAUGUCCCCAAUUCAGAGCAAAGCUGCCCAGCCUUCAACACAGGCUCAAGGACAAUCAGGGGCAAAGCUGUCACACCACCGUAAGGAUCCCUGGCCAAUGCCCAGUCAUUCAGGAUCUAAUAUAUUUUGCAAAGAUCAGAGUAAUAAGUGGGUGAAUUUUGUAGUACAUACAUUUUAAUACUUAAUAAAGCUGUUAAAAAAU